This 468-nucleotide ribosomal RNA is filed under the name uncultured bacterium. RNAcentral describes it as "partial 16S ribosomal RNA". It matches the Rfam family "Bacterial small subunit ribosomal RNA", at positions 28 to 507 of the family's 1533-position model. The record is from RNAcentral.
GACGAACGCUGGCGGCGGGCUUAACACAUGCAAGUCGAGCGGAAAGGCGCUGCUUUCGCGGGGUGCUCGAGGGGCGAACGGGUGUGUAACACAUGAGUAACCUGCCCUGGACGGUGGGAUAACUUCAGGAAACUGGGGCUAAUACCGGAGAGGAGCUCCUGCUGCAGGGGGGGGGUUGGAAAGUUUCGGCGGUGGGGGAUGGACUCGCGGCUUAUCAGCUGGUGGGUGGGGUAGUGGCCUAGGAAGGGUUUGGCUGGUCGCCGGCCUGGGAGGGGGGUCGCGCUCCUUGCGCCUGCGGUACGCACCAGAGUGGUACGUGGGGCAGCAGGGGGGAACAUUGCCCAGUGGGCGGACGCGUGAUGCAGAGACGCCGCGUGCGUGAUGACGGCCUUCGGGUUGUAAACCGCAUUAGCUUGUGACGAAGCGUGAUUGACGGUACUGGGUGAAGAAGCACCGGCUAACUACGUG